This 266-nucleotide ribosomal RNA is filed under the name uncultured archaeon. RNAcentral's name for it is "partial 16S ribosomal RNA". It matches the Rfam family "Archaeal small subunit ribosomal RNA", at positions 718 to 982 of the family's 1478-position model. The record is from RNAcentral.
AGUCACUGACAUUAGAUACCCCCUGUAGUCCAGGGUGUAAACGCUGCAGACUUGGUGUUGGAAGCCCUUUGGGGGCAUUCAGUGCCGGAGAGAAGUUGUUAAGUCUGCUACUUGGGGAGUACGUCCGCAAGGAUGAAACUUAAAGGAAUUGGCGGGGGAGCACCGCAACGGGAGGAGCGUGCGGUUUAAUUGGAUUCAACACCGUAAAACUCACCAGGGAAGACUGUUACAUGGAGGCCGAGAUGAAGACUCUGCUAGAUUUUCAG